CUUGUUGCUACCAUCCAAGAAGAUUGUAGUGUAUUCUCCUUGCUUGGUUCUUGAUCCUUCAAUACUUCAGAACUCGAGGACGAGUUUCUUCUAUAAUAAAUUUCCACAAGCAAGUCUCAGAACAUGUGAACAAAUUUCCAUUGUCAAAGAAGGAAACAUAACCGAUUCAACUAUAUAAUAUAAGAACCAGCUCCAGCUGUAUGUAUAGGCUUAAGAUGUCAAAAUU
This 226-nucleotide unclassified non-coding RNA is filed under the name Hevea brasiliensis (rubber tree). The record is from RNAcentral. Lineage: Eukaryota; Viridiplantae; Streptophyta; Magnoliopsida; Malpighiales; Euphorbiaceae.